UGAACCGUUCAUUAACCUUUGUUUUUUUCGAACAAGAGAGUUGUGAGAUCAAACGUUUAAACAGCAAUAGUAAUUGAGCUGUUGUUUGAUUCGCCGCAGUCGAUGUUUUCUCUCCGGAGUUCUCGACUACGCUUGUGAAAAAUUCAAAGUGUAUUCAAUUACUACUUAUUAACCAUUAUAACCCAAUCUUUAUAACUUUAUGAACUAACUUUAUUUUAUACUCUUCGGAGAUAAAAUUCAUUACGAAACAAAGAACAACUCUUAGCAACGGAUAUCUUGGUUCUCGUAACGAUGAAGAACGCAGCGAAAUGCGAUACGUAAUGCGAAUUGCAGAAUUCAGUGAAUCAUCAAAUCUUUGAACGCAAAUUGCGCUUUCUGGAUAGGCCAGGGAGCAUGCCUCUUUGAGUCUCGUUUCUACCUCAUCUCGACUGCUCUGUUGUAAUGACGGAAGUCAGUUCGGAUAGUGAGCGUCUCAUUCGAAAUGAGUGAGUCGCUUUAAGAAGCGUGAGUUCCAAAACUCCUAGUGUUAAUCGUGUUUAAUCACAUUUUUACUAGUGACGUGGAUAAAUUUAUUUUUCAACGUCAUAGGUACUGAUGAGGCUAAGCAUUUGGCUAGGUCACCUGAAACUCAAUGGAAAUUAAAUUCUUUUUUGAAUUAAAGCUCAAAUGAAGCAAGAUUACCCGCUGAACUUAAGCAUAUUAUUAAGCGGAAGAAAAGAAACUAACAAGGAUGCCCUCAGUAA
RNAcentral lists this ribosomal RNA (743 nucleotides) under uncultured fungus. RNAcentral's name for it is "eukaryotic LSU rRNA". The stretch from base 257 to 411 matches the Rfam family "5.8S ribosomal RNA". Lineage: Eukaryota; Fungi. The record is from RNAcentral.